This 82-nucleotide transfer RNA is filed under the name Lentinula aciculospora. It matches the Rfam family "tRNA". Rfam says of the family: Transfer RNA (tRNA) molecules are approximately 80 nucleotides in length. Their secondary structure includes four short double-helical elements and three loops (D, anti-codon, and T loops). The record is from Rfam by way of RNAcentral. Lineage: Eukaryota; Fungi; Basidiomycota; Agaricomycetes; Agaricales; Omphalotaceae.
UCCGAUAUGGUGUAGUGGCUAACAUUAUCGCCUCUCAUUUGCAAGUGCGCGAUAGCCCGGGGUUCGAUUCCCCGUGUCGGAA